Molecule: ribosomal RNA, 402 nt
Filed under: uncultured bacterium
Lineage: Bacteria
Description: bacterial SSU rRNA
Rfam family: Bacterial small subunit ribosomal RNA
Source: RNAcentral
UGGGGAAUAUUGGACAAUGGGGGCAACCCUGAUCCAGCAAUGCAGCGUGAGUGAAGAAGGGUUUGGGGUUGUAAAGCUCUUUUAUCAGGGACGAUAAUGACGGUACCUGAGGAAUAAGCUCCGGCUAAAUUAGUGCCAGCAGCCGCGGUAAUACGAAGGGAGCUAGCGUUGUUCGGAAUUACUGGGCGUAAAGGGAGCGUAGGCGGUAAGAUAAGUCAGAUGUGAAAGCCUUGGGCUUAACCUGAGAACUGCAUUUGAUACUGUCUACCUAGAGGACGGUAGAUUAACAUGGAAUUACGGGUGUAGAGGUGAAAUUCUUAGAUAUUCAUAAUAACACCAAUGGCGAAGGCGACUUUCUGGCUCGUUUCUGACUCUAAGGCGCGAAAGCGUGGGGAGCAAACA